Molecule: non-coding RNA, 909 nt
Organism: Ictidomys tridecemlineatus (thirteen-lined ground squirrel)
Lineage: Eukaryota; Metazoa; Chordata; Mammalia; Rodentia; Sciuridae
Source: RefSeq, a predicted model, not a curated record
GCCUCGCGAGGCGUGAUUCCGUCGCGAGCUCGGCUCUGCCCGCUGCGCGUCCUCAUCAGAGGCGGGGUCUCAAAUUAUCUACUCUCACCUUCCGGUGCCUUCCCCGCCCCCACGCCGGCCCCGCCUCCUGACUGUCUCAAACCAUUUCGAGGAGCACCUGACGUGGUUGGAGAGUGGGUAUACCCCUAAAAACAGUAAAUAGUCUGAAAUGGCUUUUCCUUGGUAAUCUAAUUCCAGCCCCUCCUCUUCCUCUAAUCUAGACCUCCGGAGGGGGCAAAGGGCAGGUGGGGCUUUACCCGGAGGGUAUAUUCCUCCACUUUAAACACAUCUGCUGAAAAUGACUUCCUCAGCCCUCCUACCCCUUAGCACAUGCUAAUCUCACUCCCUAGCCCUAUAGCCAGGAAAGAGUUAUAACCAACCUCUCCCCAUAGAGGCAUAAAAAUUCCUUUGGACACCAAACUAGCCCUGGCCACCUUCACAUUUCUCCCGCAUUUGCAAAUUCAGUUUUUUGAAAGACCUUAAUCACUUCUGUGAAGUUGCUAUGAACUUUCACAGUUGAGUAAAACCCCGAGCACUUUGUAUAUAACUGUUAACCUAACACCUCACUGAAUAUUGUACUGUAGUUGUUUAUGUGAACUCCUUGAGAUUAGGGACCAUAUGUCUUCCAGUUCUCAAGCAUACCUAGCACAAAAUGGGUACAAGGUUGGUUUCAGCAAAUUUGACAAAACGGGUGAGUUUAAAGCCUAUAUCUCUAAUCAUUGGAAAAUGAACAAUUUAAUGGAUAGCAUUGGGAAAUUUAACUCUCUCACACACACACACACACAAAAAAAAAAAACCUAGAUCUCUACUUAUUCUACAUAAGAAGGUGGACUGCAAAUAAGAAGGUAAAACUAUAAAGCUAAUAUAAAA